ACUUGGGGGUAAGUGACCAAAAAAAAAGCUGCCCGUCCAUAGAUAGGACGGGAGCAAAUCUGCUCGUCCCUAGGCAGAUAGGGCGAGAGGAAAAAUGGCCAUUUCAAGAAAAUGGAGAAGAUUGAUACAGUAUGUUUGUGUCUUGUUUUGUCUUAAAAUGUUGUAUUGUCUUUGUGAUGAAAAUAUGGAAGGGGUGUUAAGUAAAUUACUAAGGGAAGAAGGCACCCCAGUGGAACCAAGAAUAGUUAGGGCAUGUGUUGAUGGAAGCCCAGGAACUCUAGUCAGAAAGAAACAGAAAGUUCAGAAGAAGAAAGAUUAUCAGAGGAGGAAGGAUUAUCAGGAAAAAAGUUGCAGCAAAAGGCUAUUACUAAAUACUUUUCGUUACCGGAGGGUGCAUGAAGCGGAGAGGCGGCUGCCGAGUGUGCAAGCCGGUCACAGCGCAGCAAGGAUUUUCCAAGAGGCGGCGGCAACUGGCCCUUCCCCGCCUCCUGGCCUGGGAGCUGGCUCUUCCACUGCCGCGAGCCCAAAUCUAGACCUGACCUGGAGGCACAGUCUCGCAGGCUCUUGCUCCCUGUGUCCGGAAGCAGUUUGAGUCCGGGACACUCCCCAGGGCCAUCUGGGGCUGCCCAGGCACUACAGCCAGCAGAAGACACUACUGGUGUCCCUGAUGUUUGGUCAUUUUCAAUGCCAAUAACUAAGCUACAAUGGUUCUCCCAC
This 717-nucleotide long non-coding RNA is filed under the name Marmota monax (woodchuck). Lineage: Eukaryota; Metazoa; Chordata; Mammalia; Rodentia; Sciuridae. The record is from RNAcentral.